RNAcentral lists this ribosomal RNA (458 nucleotides) under uncultured bacterium. RNAcentral describes it as "partial 16S ribosomal RNA". It matches the Rfam family "Bacterial small subunit ribosomal RNA", at positions 338 to 795 of the family's 1533-position model. The record is from RNAcentral.
CCUACGGGUGGCAGCAGUAGGGAAUUUUCGGCAAUGGGGGGAACCCUGACCGAGCAACGCCGCGUGAGGGAGUACUGCCCUAUGGGUUGUAAACCUCUUUUGUCGGGGAGCAAAAGCCGGACGUGUCCGGCUGUGAGAGUACCCGAAGAAAAAGCAUCGGCUAACUCCGUGCCAGCAGCCGCGGUAAUACGGAGGAUGCGAGCGUUAUCCGGAUUUAUUGGGUUUAAAGGGUGCGCAGGCGGAUUUUUAAGUCAGCGGUCAAAUCGUGGGGCUCAACCCCAUCCAGCCGUUGAAACUGGGGAUCUAGAGUGUGCGAGAGGUAUGCGGAAUGCGUGGUGUAGCGGUGAAAUGCAUAGAUAUCACGCAGAACCCCGAUUGCGAAGGCAGCAUACCGGUGCACAACUGACGCUCAGGCACGAAAGCGUGGGUAUCGAACAGGAUUAGAUACCCUAGUAGUC